Long non-coding RNA from Orcinus orca (killer whale), 721 nucleotides. RefSeq lists it as uncharacterized. The transcript has 7 exons. NCBI's taxonomy places the organism in Eukaryota, Metazoa, Chordata, Mammalia, Artiodactyla, Delphinidae. The record is from RefSeq and is a predicted model, not a curated record.
CAGUGCUGAGUGAUGUGACAUCCUUGUGUCAACUACUUUGCUAAAGAAGAUUUCUCUUUGGAAGACUCCUUUCAGCAGAGUUGCAAGAAUCAACCUUCUCUUUUGAAGCUCUUGCCAAGGGUGUUGAAAUCUGCCGAGAUUUAUUUUGAUGAAGGAGUGAGGACAGCCUUGGAUGAUUUAUUUCAUCCCAUAUUCCUGAGAUACGACCCUGGACAGAUGCCCAAGGUGUAACAUACAAGAACUACCAAGGACUUCAGAAUCAGGAGGACGGGGCAAGAGAAGGCAGUCAUGUCCCACGUCUUGGGCGAGUCCCUGGAACAGGCCACCAAGUGAGGGUCCUUGGCUUCACCAGGGAAGAAUUCAAGAGAGAGCCAGAGUAAAGUGAAAGUUAUAAGCAUGUGAAAGGCUUCCUUAUGCCCAUGAAGACUUUGGCAGCAUUACUGACUUGACCUAGAUGGGAAGACUUCAAAGAGUAAGAAAAAUUCCACUGAGGCGUGUUACUAUUUCCGUAUCUCUGAGUCUUCGGGGAAUCCAGAGAAGGAGCCGGUGUUCCCCAUCUGGGCCGACAUGAGGACAAUGAAUGAAGGCAGGAAAGGCAAUAAAAGAUUGCCCCGUUCGAAGAGAAAUUUAAGGCUGGAGAGAUGCCAAAGGUACUUUUGUACAAAGUUUCCUGAUACCCGUAAACUUGUCAUAAUUCCCUCUGGAGCAUCUUUCUUAAAGU